CCUCCGAUAGCUCAAUGGUAGAGCACCGGUGUACCUUAGCAGUUCUACCCCUCAACAUUGUGAUGCCGGAGACGUUGGUUCGAGCCCAACUCGGAGGA
This is a non-coding RNA of Stereum hirsutum FP-91666 SS1, 98 nucleotides long. The record is from the annotation of a RefSeq genome assembly. NCBI's taxonomy places the organism in Eukaryota, Fungi, Basidiomycota, Agaricomycetes, Russulales, Stereaceae.